CAGAAGCUGCAGUGGCGUUGUGGCUUAUAUACUUGGGUCGAUACGCUAUAAUUGGGAGCUUACCUAUUCCGGCUGUGUGAAUGCCUCUACGGGCGUACCUGAUGUCGGAAUGACGCGCCCACCUGAGCAGAAAAGGGUUCAGUUUAUAUAGGCCACAGCGCCACUGCAGUUUUUAA
RNAcentral lists this non-coding RNA (176 nucleotides) under Mariprofundus sp. KV. Its description in RNAcentral is "6S RNA". It matches the Rfam family "6S / SsrS RNA". From Rfam's summary of the family: E. coli 6S RNA was the first non coding RNA to be sequenced, but its function was unknown until recently. It consists of 184 nucleotides that fold into an extended hairpin structure with a large single-stranded internal bulge. The record is from RNAcentral. Lineage: Bacteria; Pseudomonadati; Pseudomonadota; Candidatius Mariprofundia; Mariprofundales; Mariprofundaceae.